ACUCCUACGGGAGGCAGCAGUGGGAAUCUUGGACAAUGGGCAACCCGUGAUCCAGCCAUGCCGCGUGAGUGAUGAAGGCCUUAGGGUCGUAAAGCUCUUUCGCCUGUGAAGAUAAUGACGGUAGCAGGUAAAGAAACCCCGCGUACAUCCGUGCCAGCAGCCGCGGUAAUACGGAGGGGGUUAGCGUUGUUCGGAAUUACUGGGCGUAAAGCGCACGUAGGCGGAUCGGAAAGUUGGGGGUGAAAUCCCGGGGCUCAA
Molecule: ribosomal RNA, 258 nt
Filed under: uncultured bacterium
Lineage: Bacteria
Description: partial 16S ribosomal RNA
Rfam family: Bacterial small subunit ribosomal RNA
Source: RNAcentral